Molecule: unclassified non-coding RNA, 198 nt
Filed under: [Nematoctonus] pachysporus
Lineage: Eukaryota; Fungi; Basidiomycota; Agaricomycetes; Agaricales; Pleurotaceae
Also listed under: 1 other name
Description: partial internal transcribed spacer 2
Source: RNAcentral
AAUUCUCAAUCUUAUUAGGCUUUGUCUAAUGAGACUUGGAUGUGGAGGUUGCGGGCUUGUCUUCAGGUCGGCUCCUCUGAAAUGUAUUAGCUGGGUUUGCGCCUUCAGCCUAUUGGUGUGAUAAUUAUCUACGCCUCUUGGGUCGUUAGCGUGUAUUGACUUUCCAGCUUCUAAUCGUCUGCAAGGACAAUUUGAAAC